CAAAAAUUAAACAAAAUUUGGUUUAAAAUUAUAUUUUUCGAUAUAUUUCUGCUUUUUAUUCAAGAAGCCUUGAAACAGCUUUGAAAAUAGCUAGAAAAAAAAAAGUGUAAAAUAUCUACUAGAAAUUGUCGUAAUCAGGUUUCUAUAUUGUUAGACGCCCGACGACUUUUAACUAGAGACACACAAAUGGGGAAUGAGGCAACUGUGACCCUAAAAAAUAAUAAAAUAAUUUUAAAAAUACAAUAAUUCAUAAUAAUGUGGAGACUUAAAGAUGUCUCCAGCUUGUUGGAGAGUUCCAUAAACUAACUAGUAAGCACAUCCAAUUGGCGUACCUUGUCUAAUAUCGCGUCUAAUUGGAUUGCGUUUCUAAUUAGUGUUUCACUUAGAUAUUUUGUUUCUGUUGAAAUAUGUUUAUCACACUGCUGUUUCUUGGUUUGCCCACAGUUUUUGGCAUUUAUGCCUGCAACGAAUGUUUUUGCUUUAAUGAAUUGGAAAAAUCAAACCCUGUCGAUUGUCAAAGCUAUGACAGAAAUGUGAAAAAGUUCUACUAUGGAAAUGCUGCCUGCGAGGCGCUACAGCCUGGCGACAAUUGUUAUCCGAAGGUGUUUACAAGUCUAGCUGCUUGCAAAGCGGCCUGUAAACGCUUUUUUCACUAUGCGCAGGAAUGGAAAAAGUUGCCAAUUAUUGAUUAAAAUAAACAAGACGAUAAUAAAAUGGAAAUAAAAAUGUAAA
Drosophila novamexicana is the source of this 732-nucleotide long non-coding RNA. RefSeq lists it as uncharacterized. The transcript is spliced from 3 exons. The record is from RefSeq and is a predicted model, not a curated record. NCBI's taxonomy places the organism in Eukaryota, Metazoa, Arthropoda, Insecta, Diptera, Drosophilidae.